UUCUAUAAAAUUAACUUUACUCUGUCCUAAAACCUCUCAGACUACAGAAAAAGAUCCAAAUCUGUUCCAAGUGACCAGGCUCAUUAGAACACUGAAGACAUGAACAGCAAUAAGAAGAAUUUACACUUGUUUAGAAGUCACACAAAAAGUAGAAUUUAUUCAGUUCUUCACUUUCCCAAGUACAGUUUUGUUGGCUUCAAGGGGUUGUUCCCAAAUUACAUUGGUGUCAUGCUGGAAUGAAAUCAACUCAGUUCAAGCACCUCAAACAUCACUCUCACCUGCAAAACAUCACUGGCUUCGACCAGUCUCAAAGGUACAAGAGGUGGAAGAUGAAAGAAAGGUACAGCUAGAGAAUCAACCACCUAAGCAUCAUAAUGCUAAAUAUUUGUUCACUUGCAGUAAGUCCUGGAGUGCUCCCUGUUUACCCACGAGGAUUUCAGCAUAGAGGCUUGCUCCAGAAAGGUUAAAGUCAGUGAGCAAAAACCAUGUGCAUUUGGUGGAUGGUUGUUCUGCAAAGAUGACUGACAGAAGGCAAAAAAUACAACUACAGGAGCAUGGCACAGCAGAAAUCAGCUCAUUGGAGAUGGCAGAUGGACAGAACAGUAGUAGUUAUGCUUAAUUUUAUAUUUUUGCCAUUAUUUUGUUCAUUAAAUAUUUAAAAAAUCAUUUGGGCAAUUGUACCAGUGGGAUUGUGAUUUGCUAUAAGAUUUAAAGUAUACCUUUGGAUAAUUUCAAA
Long non-coding RNA from Melospiza melodia melodia, 736 nucleotides. RefSeq lists it as uncharacterized. The record is from RefSeq and is a predicted model, not a curated record. The transcript has 4 exons. Lineage: Eukaryota; Metazoa; Chordata; Aves; Passeriformes; Passerellidae.